UGCGCGUUUACAUCUAAUAAAUCAAGCUUCUUCCAUUUCAAUCCUGAAUUGUACCUUUAAUGAAUGUCCUGCCAUAUACAGUACUGUGCACCUAAGCCAACAUUAGGUUUGUUGGUUUAAUAAAGUUCUAAUGACCACACAUGUAUUUCUCAGUCUGUGUAUUAAGAUACAGUCUGGAUAUAUGGGAUGUAUGUACAGCAGGAAAAGUGACUUGACAGUCAAAUCUAUCAUUAACUGAAUAUAAACCCAGUGU
Molecule: long non-coding RNA, 253 nt
Organism: Sphaeramia orbicularis (orbiculate cardinalfish)
Lineage: Eukaryota; Metazoa; Chordata; Actinopteri; Kurtiformes; Apogonidae
Exons: 4
Source: RefSeq, a predicted model, not a curated record